Molecule: small nuclear RNA, 182 nt
Filed under: Hordeum vulgare
Lineage: Eukaryota; Viridiplantae; Streptophyta; Magnoliopsida; Poales; Poaceae
Description: U2 spliceosomal RNA
Rfam family: U2 spliceosomal RNA
About the family: U2 is a small nuclear RNA (snRNA) component of the spliceosome (involved in pre-mRNA splicing).
Source: RNAcentral
GUGCCUUCUAAACCGUGACGGAGGGAGUAUCUGUUCUUAUCAAUUUAAUAUCUGAUACGUGGAUCUACGGAUCCACACUAUGAUGUUAAUUUAAUUUUGUGAGGAGAGGGUCCGCUGCUUGGGCCCUCGAGCGUCGUCAGGGUCAGGGUUGCACUAUAGCCUUGAAAGUUGACGCACCUCAA